RNAcentral lists this small RNA (869 nucleotides) under Pan troglodytes (chimpanzee). RNAcentral describes it as "processed transcript". The record is from RNAcentral. Lineage: Eukaryota; Metazoa; Chordata; Mammalia; Primates; Hominidae.
AUGACAAGUGCUCCUCCAGUUGUGAGAUGAGCCAGAGGAUGGAAUGCCACAGGCCCCACUUCGUCUCCCAGCCCUUCAUCUUUCUUCCAUGUCCAAAGGCGGCUCCCCAGAGGCCAAGGGCUCAGCUCUUGUGUUCUCUGAGACUGUGGCACAGCUCACCCUGGCUUCCUUAGUAGGAAGCUUUUAAGAACUGCUCUGUAGAAAGAACAAACCCUAAUCUAGCUCCAGCAAAGAGCCAGGAUCAUGCUGAACUUCCUGUGAGCCUUCGUGGGGGAUCGAGGCUGGAGAAAGUGCUGCUUCAUUCUGAGGUCUGAAUUUCCUGCUGCUGUUCACAAAGAUGCUUUUUAUCUUUAACUUUUUGUUUUCCCCACUUCCGACCCCGGCGUUGAUCUGCAUCCUGACAUUUGGAGCUGCCAUCUUCUUCUGGCUGAUCACCAGACCUCAACCCGUCUUACCUCUUCUUGAUCUGAACAAUCAGUCUGUGGGAAUUGAGGGAGGAGCACGGAAGGGGGUUUCCCAGAAGAACAAUGACCUAACAAGUUGCUGCUUCUCAGAUGCCAAGACUAUGUAUGAGGUUUUCCAAAGAGGACUCGCUGUGUCUGACAAUGGGCCCUGCUUGGGAUAUAGAAAACCAAACCAGCCCUACAGAUGGCUAUCUUACAAACAGGUGUCUGAUAGAGCAGAGUACCUGGGUUCCUGUCUCUUGCAUAAAGGUUAUAAAUCAUCACCAGACCAGUUUGUCGGCAUCUUUGCUCAGAAUAGGCCAGAGUGGAUCAUCUCCGAAUUGGCUUGUUACACGUACUCUAUGGUAGCUGUACCUCUGUAUGACACCUUGGGACCAGAAGCCAUCGUACAUAUUGUCAACAAGG